GCAAGUCGAACGGAAGUCGUCAUAAUGAUUCUGAUAUGGAUAUGAAGAUUAUCAGAUUUGAAAUUGAAGUUGAUUAUGACAAUGGCUUUAGUGGCGGACUGGUGAGUAACGCGUAAGCAAUCUGCCUAUUAGAGGGGAAUAACAGUGAGAAAUCAUUGCUAAUACCGCAUAUGCCAUAGUUAUCACAUGAUAGUAGUGGGAAAGGAGUAAUCCGCUAAUAGAUGAGCUUGCGUCUGAUUAGCUAGUUGGUGGGGUAACGGCCUACCAAGGCGACGAUCAGUAGCCGGACUGAGAGGUUGAACGGCCACAUUGGGACUGAGAUACGGCCCAGACUCCUACGGGAGGCAGCAGUCGGGAAUAUUGCGCAAUGGAGGAAACUCCUGACGCAGUGACGCCGCGUAUAGGAUGAAGGUUUUCGGAUUGUAAACUAUUGUCGUUAGGGAAGAUAAAAGACAGUACCUAAGGAGGAAGCUCCGGCUAACUACGUGCCAGCAGCCGC
Molecule: ribosomal RNA, 499 nt
Filed under: uncultured bacterium
Lineage: Bacteria
Description: bacterial SSU rRNA
Rfam family: Bacterial small subunit ribosomal RNA
Source: RNAcentral